Phyllostomus discolor (pale spear-nosed bat) is the source of this 668-nucleotide long non-coding RNA. RefSeq lists it as uncharacterized. NCBI's taxonomy places the organism in Eukaryota, Metazoa, Chordata, Mammalia, Chiroptera, Phyllostomidae. The record is from RefSeq and is a predicted model, not a curated record. The transcript is spliced from 3 exons.
UUUUCCAGAAAGCUCGGAACCAAGUCGCAUGUGAAUUGAAACCACUCCUUGUCCUUAGGUUCUUGGGGCUGUGCAGGUCUCCAGGUGGACUGUAGGGGAGGCGGAGAUGCAUGCUAUGGCCAGCAGGUGGCAGCCUGGGCACAUGGCAAGGCCAAUGGAGGGAACCCGUUCCUCAGGACCUGGACCUCUGGGAGCUGGUUCUGCACAUCUCUGAAGACUUCAACAACUGAAGUUCCUCAAGUUAGGCCAAGCUCAUUUGCCAGUUCUGGAUAGCAAGGACAAAUGUCAAGCAAUUGCACAUUUGAGAGGCCACAGAGGUUGGUGAUUUUUAUUGUCCUUAUCCUGAAGACCUCAUUUAGAAUAUGUGUUUCUCUGGAAACAUUAAUAAUGUGCUAUCCUCGUUAUUAAAGCAUUUCCCAACAAAAUGCUUCCUUUCUUCAGCCUCCUGCUGUCAGUGCAGGUCCCAGCUCUUUAUCACAUUGCUUUUACAGAGGGCCGGCUCAGUGCGGCUGUGCCUAGGGAUGGCGGGGUGGGGGGGUGGCUCAGGGAACACUAAUUGGGAUGCAGGCAGUUCGUUCCCGCUCCUUGGCGUAGCUGAGUUAACAGGGUUAGGUUUGUGUGACUCAUGAAUCAUUUCAGAAUAUUAGCAGAAAUGGCAUCUAAAAAGA